RNAcentral lists this ribosomal RNA (810 nucleotides) under uncultured organism. Its description in RNAcentral is "SSU rRNA". It matches the Rfam family "Bacterial small subunit ribosomal RNA", at positions 645 to 1462 of the family's 1533-position model. The record is from RNAcentral.
AGUUGGAGAGAAGUAUGCGGAAUGCGCGGUGUAGCGGUGAAAUGCAUAGAUAUCGCGCAGAACUCCGAUUGCGAAGGCAGCAUGCCGGCUCCACACUGACGCUGAGGCACGAAAGCGUGGGUAUCGAACAGGAUUAGAUACCCUGGUAGUCCACGCAGUAAACGAUGAAUGCUGGCUGUCCGGGGGGGACUGACCCCUGGGUGGCGAAGCGAAAGCGAUAAGCAUUCCACCUGGGGAGUACGCCGGCAACGGUGAAACUCAAAGGAAUUGACGGGGGCCCGCACAAGCGGAGGAACAUGUGGUUUAAUUCGAUGAUACGCGAGGAACCUUACCCGGGCUCAAACGGGGAGUGACUCAGGCAGAGACGCCUGUUUCCCACGGGACACUCCCCGAGGUGCUGCAUGGUUGUCGUCAGCUCGUGCCGCGAGGUGUCGGCUUAAGUGCCAUAACGAGCGCAACCCCCGCGUGCAGUUGCUAACAGUCAACGCUGAGGACUCUGCACGGACUGCCGGCGCAAGCCGCGAGGAAGGCGGGGAUGACGUCAAAUCAGCACGGCCCUUACGUCCGGGGCGACACACGUGUUACAAUGGGUGGUACAGCGGGAAGCCAGGCGGCGACGCCGAGCGGAACCCGAAAUCCACUCUCAGUUCGGAUCGGAGUCUGCAACCCGACUCCGUGAAGCUGGAUUCGCUAGUAAUCGCGCAUCAGCCAUGGCGCGGUGAAUACGUUCCCGGGCCUUGUACACACCGCCCGUCAAGCCAUGGGAGCCGAGGGCGCUUAAAGUGCGUCGCCGCGAGGCGCGCCCUAGAG